RNAcentral lists this ribosomal RNA (26 nucleotides) under Rehmannia glutinosa. RNAcentral describes it as "partial 26S ribosomal RNA". The record is from RNAcentral. Lineage: Eukaryota; Viridiplantae; Streptophyta; Magnoliopsida; Lamiales; Orobanchaceae.
GACCGCGACCCCAGGUCAGGCGGGAU